GUCAACAUAGUUUAACAAAAACAUUAGGAUGUGGAUCUAAAAACAGAAGCUAGGACCUUCUUGUUGAC
RNAcentral lists this transfer RNA (68 nucleotides) under Egernia epsisolus (Eastern Pilbara spiny-tailed skink). RNAcentral describes it as "tRNA-His". It matches the Rfam family "tRNA". Rfam says of the family: Transfer RNA (tRNA) molecules are approximately 80 nucleotides in length. Their secondary structure includes four short double-helical elements and three loops (D, anti-codon, and T loops). Further hydrogen bonds mediate the characteristic L-shaped molecular structure. tRNAs have two regions of fundamental functional importance: the anti-codon, which is responsible for specific mRNA codon recognition, and the 3' end, to which the tRNAs corresponding amino acid is attached (by aminoacyl-tRNA synthetases). tRNAs cope with the degeneracy of the genetic code in two manners: having more than one tRNA (with a specific anti-codon) for a particular amino acid; and 'wobble' base-pairing, i.e. permitting non-standard base-pairing at the 3rd anti-codon position. Lineage: Eukaryota; Metazoa; Chordata; Lepidosauria; Squamata; Scincidae. The record is from RNAcentral.